CUAAUCAACUUGAACAGACUGAAAAAAUCACAUGAGAGUCAUAAAAAUCAGUUUUCUGCAACAUUUAGGAAUAUUAAGCGGUGGUGGCUAUUUUGAAAAAUGUCUGCCACGGCCCUCAGGGGCCAAAUUUGCAGCACCCCGAUAUCUCUAUCUUUUCAUAACAUAUAAACCAAAUGUGUUGCUUUUAUCGCAAAAUGCACGAUUGUUGUGCUUAACUGUCCCGCUAUGAUAUCCAUCUGAACAUCUUAUUGUUGGAAAGAAAGCAAAUAAGUGUAUUUCCCAAAGUGUCAAACUAUUCCUUCAAGUCUAAACAUUAUUGCAGUAAUGGUCAAACAUGAUACACAGAGAGGCCUCUUAAAUACCAAAACAACAGUGAGACACGUCAGACAGACAGACAGAUAAAGAAAGAGACUGUCGU
Long non-coding RNA from Sebastes umbrosus (honeycomb rockfish), 418 nucleotides. RefSeq lists it as uncharacterized. Lineage: Eukaryota; Metazoa; Chordata; Actinopteri; Perciformes; Sebastidae. The transcript has 3 exons. The record is from RefSeq and is a predicted model, not a curated record.